RNAcentral lists this ribosomal RNA (253 nucleotides) under uncultured bacterium. Its description in RNAcentral is "partial 16S ribosomal RNA". It matches the Rfam family "Bacterial small subunit ribosomal RNA", at positions 524 to 776 of the family's 1533-position model. The record is from RNAcentral.
GACGUAGGGUGCAAGCGUUGUCCGGAUUUAUUGGGCGUAAAGGGCUCGUAGGCGGUUUGUCGCGUCGGGAGUGAAAACACGGGGCUUAACCCCGUGCCUGCUUCCGAUACGGGCAGACUAGAGGUAUGCAGGGGAGAACGGAAUUCCUGGUGUAGCGGUGAAAUGCGCAGAUAUCAGGAGGAACACCGAUGGCGAAGGCAGGUCACUGGGCCGCAACUGACGCUGAGGAGCGAAAGCAUGGGGAGCGAACAGG